UACGUAGGGGGCAAGCGUUGUCCGGAUUUAUCGGGCGUAAAGCGCGUGUAGGCGGCCAUACAGGUCCGUUGUGAAAACUCGAGGCUUAACCUCGAGACGUCGAUGGAAACCGUAUGGCUAGAGUCCGGAAGAGGAGAGUGGAAUUCCUGGUGUAGCGGUGAAAUGCGCAGAUAUCAGGAAGAACACCCGUGGCGAAGGCGGCUCUCUGGGACGGUACUGACGCUGAGACGCGAAAGCGUGGGGAGCGAACAGG
This 253-nucleotide ribosomal RNA is filed under the name uncultured bacterium. RNAcentral's name for it is "partial 16S ribosomal RNA". It matches the Rfam family "Bacterial small subunit ribosomal RNA", at positions 524 to 776 of the family's 1533-position model. The record is from RNAcentral.